Molecule: ribosomal RNA, 253 nt
Filed under: uncultured bacterium
Lineage: Bacteria
Description: partial 16S ribosomal RNA
Rfam family: Bacterial small subunit ribosomal RNA
Source: RNAcentral
UACAGCGGUCCCAAGCGUUGUUCGGAUUCACUGGGCGUAAAGGGUGCGUAGGCGGUUAGGUAAGUCUGACGUGAAAUCUCCGGGCCUAACCCGGAAACUGCGUUGGAAACUACUUGACUAGAGGAAUGGAGGGGAGACUGGAAUACUUGGUGUAGCAGUGAAAUGCGUAGAUAUCAAGUGGAACACCAGUGGCGAAGGCGAGUCUCUGGACAUUUCCUGACGCUGAGGCACGAAAGCUAGGGGAGCAAACAGG